This 253-nucleotide ribosomal RNA is filed under the name uncultured bacterium. RNAcentral's name for it is "partial 16S ribosomal RNA". It matches the Rfam family "Bacterial small subunit ribosomal RNA", at positions 524 to 776 of the family's 1533-position model. The record is from RNAcentral.
UACGGAGGAUCCGAGCGUUAUCCGGAUUUAUUGGGUUUAAAGGGUGCGUAGGCGGCCUGUUAAGUCAGGGGUGAAAGACGGUAGCUCAACUAUCGCAGUGCCCUUGAUACUGACGGGCUUGAAUGGACUAGAGGUGGGCGGAAUGGGACAAGUAGCGGUGAAAUGCAUAGAUAUGUCUCAGAACACCGAUUGCGAAGGCAGCUCACUAUGGUUCUAUUGACGCUGAGGCACGAAAGCGUGGGGAUCGAACAGG